CGCGUUUCUUUUAAUAUUGACGUUGCUUUUCUGCAGAAUAAUAGUUGUCUUUAUAGAUCAAUGUUUCUACCCAUAACUGAAUUAUUAACGUUAAUGUGCUGUAGGCCGAAUGUACUAUUUCUGCGAUAUCAAUGUAGUAGUAGCCAAUAUCUGCUUCCCGCAGAUACAGGACGUCCACAGAAACACGGGUCAGCCAUUGGUCAAUUUCCUCAUUAUUCAGACGGUUGUGCACUGAUUAUCCGUGUUUCUACGUAUUACACAAGCUGAUUUCGUAAACAUAAAGCAUAACCUGUAUAAGGUACAGAAUCGUUGCGAAAUUAUACAAUAAAGUGCACUCACAUCGUUUCAACAAAGUCAGUCAGACCUGCUGAGUUUGCACUAACACCUGCAGCCAGCUGAAGCAGAGCUAAGUAUGAGACACGAACUCUGUGGCUGACGCAAACUACAAGGAAAGUGUUGGCUUCAUUUUACGACGGCAUCCACUCCUGUUAUAAGUUUCACUGCAGUGCGCUCAGGACAUGGUAGGAUAAGGAUAAGGAUAAUCACCUUUACUGGCCAAGUAUGCUAUACACAAGGAAUUUGUUUCCACCACAGAAC
Molecule: long non-coding RNA, 597 nt
Organism: Monopterus albus (swamp eel)
Lineage: Eukaryota; Metazoa; Chordata; Actinopteri; Synbranchiformes; Synbranchidae
Exons: 3
Source: RefSeq, a predicted model, not a curated record